Molecule: long non-coding RNA, 280 nt
Organism: Gallus gallus (chicken)
Lineage: Eukaryota; Metazoa; Chordata; Aves; Galliformes; Phasianidae
Source: Ensembl
CCCCAUCCAUUUGCAAGAAGAAGCGAGCAGCAGUGAUGCUCACAUCCCUUAGGCAUUAUCCAGGCGACCUCGUGCCGGCGCUGGAUGCGUUUUGGGCGGUGAGCAGGAGCGAGCAGAGAAAUGCCUUCACCCAGCAAGAAGAGCAGGGGAUGUGCUUGUCACCAUCACCAGUGAGUGGUGGAGGUGGCCCAGAACGGUGCCGGAUGCUGCCCAGGUUGGCCCAGCCGCUGCCUCCCACCUCCGGGAAGAGAAUGCCGGCUCCUCCAGGCAUGGCUCCCAG